UAGAGGAAGUAAAAGUCGUAACAAGGUUUCCGUAGGUGAACCUGCGGAAGGAUCAUUACAGAGUUCAUGCCCGAAAGGGUAGACCUCCCACCCUUGUGUAUUAUUACUUUGUUGCUUUGGCGAGCUGCCUUCGGGCCUUGUAUGCUCGCCAGAGAAUACCAAAACUCUUUUUAUUAAUGUCGUCUGAGUACUAUAUAAUAGUUAAAACUUUCAACAACGGAUCUCUUGGUUCUGGCAUCGAUGAAGAACGCAGCGAAAUGCGAUAAGUAAUGUGAAUUGCAGAAUUCAGUGAAUCAUCGAAUCUUUGAACGCACAUUGCGCCCCUUGGUAUUCCGGGGGGCAUGCCUGUUCGAGCGUCAUUUCAACCCUCAAGCUUAGCUUGGUAUUGAGUCUAUGUCAGUAAUGGCAGGCUCUAAAAUCAGUGGCGGCGCCGCUGGGUCCUGAACGUAGUAAUAUCUCUCGUUACAGGUUCUCGGUGUGCUUCUGCCAAAACCCAAA
This 498-nucleotide ribosomal RNA is filed under the name Botrytis cinerea. RNAcentral's name for it is "eukaryotic LSU rRNA". The stretch from base 206 to 359 matches the Rfam family "5.8S ribosomal RNA". The record is from RNAcentral. Lineage: Eukaryota; Fungi; Ascomycota; Leotiomycetes; Helotiales; Sclerotiniaceae.